RNAcentral lists this unclassified non-coding RNA (329 nucleotides) under soil metagenome. Its description in RNAcentral is "partial contains 5.8S ribosomal RNA, internal transcribed spacer 2, and large subunit ribosomal RNA". The stretch from base 1 to 120 matches the Rfam family "5.8S ribosomal RNA", at positions 35 to 154 of the family's 154-position model. The record is from RNAcentral.
GAUGAAGAACGUAGCGAAAUGCGAUAAGUAGUGUGAAUUGCAGAAUUCAGUGAAUCAUCGAAUCUUUGAACGCACAUUGCGCCCCUUGGUAUCCCGAGGGACAUGCCUGUUCGAGCGUCAUUUCACCACUCAAGCCUGGCUUGGUGUUGGGCGACGUCCCCUUUAGGGACGCGCCUUGAAACGCUCGGCGGCGUGGCACCGGCUUUAAGCGUAGCAGAAUCUUUCGCUUUGGAAGUCGGGGCCCCGCCUGCCGGAAUACCUACUCGUAAGGUUGACCUCGGAUCAGGCAGGGAUACCCGCUGAACUUAAGCAUAUCAAUAAGCGGAGGA